GGAGGGCGAGAGGGGGCGGGGGACGGGUGUUUUCAAACCCGACAGCCACAGCGGCCGCAGCCGGGGCUGAGCCCGAACCCGAGCUCCCUCGGCGCCGCCGGUGACGGCGGGUGGCACCCGCUCUCCGAUAGGAUCCCCGCGGCCGCGCCGCCACAGAGAGAAGAGGGGGGGAAGCGGCGGGAGGAGGAGGACGCGUCCCGUCGCCAGCUCCCGGGAGAAGACACACGAUGAACCCACUGAUACAAGAUACAGCUAGCUAAACAGCUAUAAAAUGCCCAAAUUUGGGUCUACAAAAACAGUUCAAGUUGAAAAUUCUGACAGUGAUAGCACCAUGGUGGAAAAAACAACCGCAAGAAAGAGCAAGGACAAGAUUGCAUCCUACAGCAAAACUCCAAAAGUGGAUAGGAGUGAUGUGGGGAAGGAGAUGAAAGAAAAGUCUUCCAUGAAACGUAAACUUCCUUUUACUAUUAGUCCAUCCAGAAAUGAAGAUCGCAAUUCAGACACAGAGAAGGAAGGUCCGGAGAAAAAGAAAAUGAAGAAGGAUGCUGGAAAUAAGAAAUCAACACCAGUUAGCAUUCUUUUUGGUUAUCCUCUGUCAGAGCGCAAACAGAUGGCACUUCUCAUGCAGAUGACAGCAAGAGACAACAGUCCAGAUUCCAACUUAAAUCAUCCCUUACAAACAACACCAGCACAAAAGAAAACUCCAAACUCUUCUUCAAGACAAAAAGACAAAGUUAACAAGAGAAAUGAACGAGGGGAAACUCCUCUACAUAUGGCAGCAAUUCGAGGAGAUGUUAAACAGGUUAAGGAGCUAAUCAGUUUAGGUGCAAAUGUGAAUGUAAAAGAUUUUGCAGGCUGGACACCACUGCACGAAGCUUGUAAUGUUGGUUACUACGAUGUUGCUAAAGUGCUGAUAGCAGCAGGAGCCGACGUGAACACCCAGGGCUUGGAUGAUGAUACACCUCUUCAUGAUUCUGCUAGUAGUGGGCAUAGAAAUAUUGUGAAGCUGUUGCUUCGACAUGGUGGAAAUCCAUUUCAAGCCAAUAAGCAUGGAGAGAGACCUGUUGACGUUGCUGAAACUGAGGAGUUGGAAAUGCUAUUGAAAAGGGAGGUGCCCAUCUCUGAUGAUGAGGACAGUUGCUCAGGUAAAAAUUCUGAAGAAGCUCCAUCUGUAAAUCCUUCCAGUGUAGAGGGGAAUGCAGAUUCAGAAGCAGAAAAGGACUCUGUAGCCAAUGACAGCAAACAAACGGUCCCUAGUAAAGUACCACUUCCAUCUGCGCUGGAUGAGUAUGAGUUUAAAGAUGAUGAUGAAGAUGAAAUGAAAAAAAUGAUUGAUGACAGACAUAUUCUUAGAAAAGACCUAAGGAAAGAGGAUGAGACUGAAGUUGACAAGAACAGCUUAUUUGUGAAGCAAGAAAAAGUCGUCUUUUCAAAAUCAUUUAAAAGCAAAAAGCAGAAACCAUCUAGAGUUCUGUAUUCAAGCUCUGAAAGUUCAGAUGAAGAAAUUCUUCAGGACAAGAAGAUAAUCUCUCCUUGCUCAAUUUCAGAGACAUCAAAUUCUGAUGUAAGAGCGAAGAAAGAAUAUAUGGUUGCAAAUGAACACAAGCAAAAGGGCAAAGUUAAAAGGAAAGUUAAAAAUCAGAGCAAAAAUAAAGAGAAUCAAGAACUAAAGCAAGAAAAAGAAAAUGCUAGAGUAACAAACAUAACUACUUCCGGGUUAGAUUCUUUAGAUAAAACUAGAGAGGAAGAAAGUUUUAAGAAGUCUUUCACCCCGAAAGAAGAUUCUUCUUUACAUCUAUUUCAUAUCACUGCUGGCAAAUCUCCAAAGCAUCCGUGUGGAUUAAGUGAAAAGCAGUCAACACCAUUAAAGCAAGAAAACACCAAAACUUGUUUAUCACCAGGAGGUUCUGAAAUAUCAUUGCAAUCUGAAUUAGUUCGGUACGAUCACAACACUGAUCCUGAAUAUCUAGUAGAAAGUUCUAGUGGCAAAUCUUGCAAGCACAGAGAAAAAAGCAAACACCAUCAGAAAGAUUUUCACGUAGAAUUUGGUGAAAAAUCUAGUCCUAAAAUUAAAGAGGAAGAUAAUAGCUCAACAUUUGAGAAUUCAGAGUAUACUCUAAGAAAGACUGACAAGGAAGGUAAAACACUUAAAAAGCAUAAAUUAAGGCACAAAGAAAAAGAGAAGGACAAGCAUAAAAAGGAACAGGAUGGGGAAAAAGAAAAACAUAAGCAUAAAGAUGCUAAAGAAGUUCAAAGAAGUAUUGAGUUUGACAGAGAAUUUUGGAAAGAGAACUUUUUCAAAAGUGAUGAAAAUGAAGAUCUGUUGUUAAAUAUAGAACAUGAAUCUCUUUCUUCAGACAGAAAAUCAAAGCUAGAAAAAGCUGUGGCAAAAGAAGAUAAGUUAGUUAAGGAGAGACAGUUCCAGAAAGAGAGAAAUGUUAAAGAGGAGAAAGAGAAGAACAAAAAGGAAAAUGAGAAGUUUCUCAAGGAUGAAAAAAUAAAAGAUGCAAAAGAAGAAAAAGAAAUUAUGCUUGCAGAUAAAGAAAUUGAAUUGUUCUGUUUUGGUGUGAAAGAUGAGGGAGCCAGCAUUCAUUUGAUAGAAAAAGAAACAGAUACUGAAAAGCAGGAAAAGAAUUUAAAGGAAAAUAAGGAAAAGACUGAAAAGCGAACUUCAGCCAAAGAAAAAGAUGUUGAAAAGACAGAAAGAAGAAAUGGAGAAAAAGAUAAAAAGGUAAAACAUGAAUACAAGACAGAGAAAGAAAAAGCAGAAGUAAAUGAAAAUAUAGAGAAAUUAAAGGAGAAGCCCAGUUUCCAGCAAGCAGAAAGAUGCCAUAAGGAAAAUGAUAAAAUAAAAAGCACAGGUACUCUUAAAAAACUUGAUGACAAAGAAAGAAAUAAAGAAAAAACUGAUAAGAAGCAUGAGAAGGAAAAGGCUGAUAAAGACAGACAUUGGUCUGAAAGCAAAGAAAAACACUGUACUGAAAGAAAAGCCAAACAAUCUGAGAAAGAAUCUGAACAUACUAAAUCAGAAAAAAAUAGAACAAAAGACAAAGAAAAGGAACUUGAAAAAAAAGACAAAUCCAAAGACAAGGAGAGCUCAACAUUAGCAAACUCAAAACACAUGCAAGAGGAUAGGAGAUGCAGUAUUACAGAAAGUAAUAAAACAGUGCACGACAAACUGUCAUCUUUGAAAGAAAAAACAAAGGAUGAGUUAUUGAGAACUCCAGAUGGUAGAGAGAAAGAUAAAAAAGAUAAAGAUAUAGACCGAUACAAGGAGAGAGACAAGCAUAAAGAUAAACUGCAUCAAAGUAGUUUACCUAAACUAAAACUCGAACAUGAGAAACUUAAGCCUAAACCAGCUCCUGCACCAAAGGAUGCUCGACCUAAAGAGAAAAGAUUAGUUAAUGAUGAUUUAAUGCAAACUAGUUUUGAAAGAAUGCUUAGCCUUAAAGAUCUGGAAAUAGAGCAGUGGCAUAGAAAGCAUAAAGAAAAAAUAAAACAGAAAGAGAAGGAACGUUUAAGAAACCGCACUUGUUUAGAACUUAACAAGAUGAAAGAAAAACCAAAACACUCGUUAGCUGAUGCAAAAAGCAAAGAACUGAUUCGUUCAAAAAGCUCAGAGUUGCCAGAUGUUUGCAUGAAGGAAAAACAGCCAAAAGAUGCUACAAGCAAUAGAUCGCAAUCAGUAGAUGCGAGAAGUGUCAAUGUUAUAAAGCCUUCCUUGGUUUUAGAUAAUUUCAACAGAUCCCCCAAAUCAGAAAGUGAGAAGACAGGUCUGAGCUCCAGGUCAGUGUCUAUGGUUUCAGUUGCAAGCUCUGAGGAUUCUUGCCAUACCACAGUAACAACUCCAAGGCCUGUGACGGAAUAUGACUCAGACUUCAUGCUAGAAGGUUCUGAUUCCCAAAUGUCUUUUUCACAAUCGCCAUUUUUGGCAAGUGCUAAAUCACCAGCCCUUCUUGAAAAAGAGACUGAUGGUCUUGCCGAGUUGCCAGAUCGCGUUAAGCCACCUUUUGCGAACAGGCUUCCACCAGCGUACAUUAGAUCAGCAUCUGUUGAAGAUGUUAAACUGGUUUUAAAUGAACCUAGACCUGUUGUAGAGGUCCGAAGAUGCAGUAUGCCUGCUGCUGUUUCUGAACACAGCAAACUGCCUCGAGUAGCAGAAGAAAAUAAUCAGAAUGCUCUUCCGUCCAUUCAGACUUAUGCUAGCACUUCUCCUAAACCAGAACUACCGUGUAGCAUGAUUGAAAGAGAUUUUCAAAGUGGUAUGUCUGGUUUGCAGUCAAACUUCACAUCAUCUCUGACCGGGGCUGUUAGCAACAAGCAGGCAACGAUGGGUACAAGUACCAUUAAAAAUACUGCUCAAAUGAGUCCUUCAGAAGAUUAUAAUACACAUUUAGAGCCAUGUAGUCAAAGUGGUGUAAGUCAGCAAACCAAACCAUGGGAUGUGCCUUUUGACAGACUUAAUUCAUUAAACAAUGAGUUUAACAGCUCAGGGUAUGUUGUAUCAGAGCAAGAUAAUAACAGUGUUAUAACAAUGCAUAAUUCUGAAAAUGGGACAAUAAAAGAGCAACAAGUAUCUGAAUUUUUGCCUCAGCAUGCUGAAAUCAAGGGAAGUUGCAGUUCUCAAGAGUCUGCGUUCGUUUUGCCUUCACAAUCGCCUUGCUCUUUAGCCGUCCAGCCACUCCCAGAUGUGUCUAAGCACAUUUCUUUACCAGGCAUUAGCAGUCAAGAUCCGUCAUUUGUACAACAAAAUCUAGUUCAAACUGCAACUACUUUGGAUACAGAUCCUACUAAUACCAGCGAGCUAGAAAAUGCUUUCUUCCCUUCAAACAUAAAGAAGGCUGAUGCACACAUUGCUGUAUAUUCUGAGAGCUCUGUGAAGGAUAUUUCACAGUGUUAUGAAAGGGCGAAUGAUUUACCUACGGUGCCGUUAGAAAAAGAUAUUCCUGAAAGUGAUAGCAGUUCGCAAUUAAAUAUAAAUUCAUACAUAUUCAGUAAACUUGUUUGUAAGAACGCUCAGAGUGAAACAGAUAGUAACACAGCAGAAACUUCAGACAUUAGAAAUCAAAAAGCACAACAAGAAAAGUUGGGUUUGGUGCAUGUUGUUGGUAAUAAAACAGACACUGAUCUCAGUGAACUAAGUUCAGGAGUGUCAGAGGGAAUUAUGAACGAAUCAGCUAACAAAAAACCCUGCACUAUAGACAGAGAAAAUGUGUUGACAGAUGAUCCACCACAGUACUCCUCUUUAUCUAAUUUGGAAAACAGUUCACAACAGGUUACACAGGAAGAGGUGCAUAAAUACAGCCAGAUAAUUAAACUAGAAGAAGAAAAUUCUGAGGAUCAGAAAGUGGAACAGCAAGAAGUACCUCAAAGAAUUACGAGGAACAGAGCAAAUAUGCUUGCUAACCAGGGUAAACAGAAUCCUGUUGGCUGCAUGCAAACAUCAGAGAAAGAGUCUGAAUCGUCAGCAUCUCUGAAAGCAAGGAUUAGAUUAACUGAAGAGGAUGAUGCUCAGAUACAUCACCCACGUAAAAGAAAGGUGUCGCGUGUGCCCCAGCCUGUGCAAGCAAACCCUUCUUUACUGCAAGCUAAGGAGAAAACCCAGCAGUCGCUGGCAGCUAUUGUUGAUUCUUUGAAGCUUGAAGAGAUUCAGCCAUACAGUUCGGAGAGAGCAAACCCAUAUUUCGAAUACUUGCACAUAAGAAAAAAAAUAGAAGAGAAGCGUAAACUACUGUGCAGUGUUAUUCCUCAGGCGCCUCAAUAUUAUGAUGAAUACGUGACCUUCAAUGGCUCAUACCUGCUGGAUGGCAAUCCUUUGAGCAAGAUAUGCAUCCCAACUAUUACACCACCUCCCUCACUGUCGGACCCACUUAAGGAACUGUUUAAACAGCAGGAGGUAGUAAGGAUGAAACUACGUUUACAGCACAGUAUUGAAAGGGAAAAGCUUAUUGUCUCUAAUGAACAAGAGGUUCUACGUGUUCACUAUCGAGCAGCGAGGACGCUAGCUAAUCAAACACUACCAUUCAGUGCCUGCACUGUUCUGCUGGAUGCUGAGGUUUAUAAUGUGCCUCUGGAUGCUCAGGAAAAUGACCAUCUCAGAAGUGCUUUUAUGGGAGGUCCGGUCUGUGGAGGUUUCCCUUCAUGGCUGCAUGUGUCGGGGAGACCUGGAGAGCUGCUCAUUCUUUUGCAGAUCUAUGGGCCAACCCAAAGGUGGGGAGGAAAAAGGCCCAAGUUUGUGGUGACCAGGCAGCUGGUCACAGCUCAGGGUGCAAGGCUGAUGACAGCAAAACAUCAGUGAGGGAUCGAUUUAAUGCAAGACAGUUUAUGUCGUGGUUACAGGACGUUGAUGAUAAGUUUGACAAAUUAAAGACGUGCCUUUUGAUGAGGCAGCAGCAUGAAGCAGCAGCUUUAAAUGCGGUACAGAGACUGGAGUGGCAGCUGAAACUACAAGAGCUGGAUCCUGCUACAUACAAAUCCAUCAGCAUUUAUGAAAUUCAGGAGUUUUACGUUCCUCUUGUUGAUGUUAAUGAUGACUUUGAACUGACACCAAUAUGACAACUAGCAUCUUCCAGCUCACGCUUUCCCUUGGACAACUAGAGACUGAGGUGCAGUGAUACACAAAAGUACUUUUCUUUUCAGACAGAGCACUUAAUUCUGUGGAAUACUACCUUUCUCAAUAAUUCAGGUGUUCCUUCAGAGAAGUGUGGCAUGGGCUCUUGUUCAAACACAGAAGAUGGAUGCUCAUUGUAAAGUUGGUUUCCCAGUAAAUGCCAUUAUCUGUAUUUAAAAAUUGCCUAUAGCUUUAGAGCUUAUUGCUGAAAAAGAUGACAAAACAUGGUGAGUUAACAGCGCUGGAAGCUGUUAACAAUUAAAACAGCCACCAAAAAACAAAUGAUACUUAAAAUCUGCUACGGAGCUUUGUAUUAUGAAACUUCAAUAACAGUUGAACUCCCACAGAAAACCUAUGAAAAAGCCUGUGGAAGAAAAUGUAAGACUUGGAGGAAAAUAUUCUAUUAAUCUUAUUAUAUUUUGUAAAUUACUGUACAGUUUUCUUUUUGGAAAAAGAUGUAAUAUUGUCUUCAUUUUUAAAUAAUUUAUUUUAUACAUAUUGUGCAAAUGUAAAUAGUCUUGUAAUUAAUGUUCAAACCUGUAUAAAAUAGAUAUUUUAACCGUAAAACUGUUUUUUUGUCUAAUGUUUUAUUGGACCAAAGUUGUAGUUUUUAUUAAGUGUAGUGUGUUCCUGGUUGGCAGUUCUUUUUCAUAUGGCAUGUGUUUGAUUUAGCUGCUUGUCUCAUCAACAUAACUGUAAAAGGAUUGAAACUGAACUGUAUUGCAUGCUUCACCGAACUCUUAGCUCCUUUACUUCAAUAACUGAUACCUACGCAAUUGUAAUCUUUACAAAAUCAUAUUUCAUAUUAGUCUGCUGUUGUAAUGCCAUACCUAUGACUUACUAUACUGAAAAUAUUUUUGUGUAAAACAAAAAAAAACCUUUUGCUCUUAUAUGGCGGUCUCAUAAUAGAGCCUAUUUUUUCCAACAAAAUGCCUUUGAAUGAAAAUUCUUAAAUUGUAUAUUGUCUAUUUUAAUAUUAAUCUAUGGAAGGAUAUGUAAAUACUUGUAAAUAUAAUGUUUAAUAAAUUUUAUUGGUCAUGUUA
Molecule: RNA transcript, 7653 nt
Organism: Columba livia (rock pigeon)
Lineage: Eukaryota; Metazoa; Chordata; Aves; Columbiformes; Columbidae
Gene: ANKRD12
Gene name: ankyrin repeat domain 12
Exons: 13
Source: RefSeq, a predicted model, not a curated record